CUUGCCCCUAGAGGAGCAGGUGUGGCUGCUGUGUCACAUGCAUGUCAAUAGGUGGCAGAGAAGAGAGAGACUAUGUCUCUGCUGCGUUCUAACCUAUGAACAUCUGAAUGAUUCGUAACCUAACAAU
Small nucleolar RNA from Rattus norvegicus (Norway rat), 127 nucleotides. Ensembl annotates it as small nucleolar RNA SNORA17. The record is from Ensembl. NCBI's taxonomy places the organism in Eukaryota, Metazoa, Chordata, Mammalia, Rodentia, Muridae.